UCCAUCCUUUGACAGGUGGUAGAAAAAGCCCUUGCCAUCAUCACUGAGUGGUGAGAGCAGUGGGUUUUCACUGAUGUCUCUGUUGGAGAUGGGAAGGUGCCCGGGCUGUUUUGUACCUUUCACAGGUGAAUCUUCAUAUUGGGUCAGGAGGAUGGGUGGGAGGUAAGUGCUCUCAGAAUACUCCAGGGCUUUGUAGGACAGAGGGCUCAAAAUUGUUGGGAUUGGCUCUGUGCAUCUGUGGGACAGAAAAUGCAGAGGCUGAACAGGCAGCUGUGUAAGCACCCAUGGAAUUUAAAUGCCCCUGCACUGGGAGGAGCUGUGGGGAGCUGAAAUCUGGAUCAAAGGACUGUGAAAUACCAACAACUCCUGUUAGGACUCCUAGCCCUUGACUUGGUUGUCUCUCAUAGCGUAUGAUAAGGGAUGUGCCUGUGUUUGUGAAGCUUUUACCUCCAGCAUUCUCAAGCUUGCUCAGCAAUGGAUUAUGUGGGUGCCCACACUUGCUCUGCAUCUCCAUUACCUGAUCUUUCAACACAGUGUUAGCAAGCUGGUUUUUUUCCCAGGAUGAGACUUUAAUUCCCUCCCAUUGAUCAUGGCCAAAGAAGAGAGCUCAAAUGGAGAUUUUAUUCCAGAAACAAUGGCCCCCUUAUGUGCUGUGUCGUGAUCUCUCUGAAUGAACCUGCUGGUGAAAUGAAGGCUUUUCUCCGGGCUGUUUUUUACCUCUCACAGGUGAAUCUUCAUAUUGGGUCAGCUGCCUUGAUUCCUGCAGGGAGAGAAGGGAAGUAAAACAUGAAACCUUUGUUCUGUGGGGACUGAGACAAAAUGACAGUCAGUGGGACUCGGGCUUUAUAUUUAGUUUCCAUAAAUCUCCAGGUGCUGCAGGGAAUUUGUACCCAUUAACAGCGACAAAGUGGAGGGCAAGUUCCCUGCGCAGUUUUAUGUGUUUUUGUGCCUUAAGACACUUCUCUCUGGGUCCAGCCCAAAGCCUCUUGCCUGGGCUGGCGGCUCACUUCCAGCCAAACUGCUCUUGUCCUUCUUGCCUCGUCCUCAGCGCUGCUGUGAGCUGCUGCCUAUUCUGUCUGCACCUGCUCUUCCACACCCUUCCCACUGCUGUUGGCAUUUCCUAAGUUGUACAUAAAAUACAGCUUGCUGCUUUCCCAUGUUUGGCUCUCUGAUGGCUGAGCUGCAGCAAGCCCACCAAACUUAUUAAUUUGAUCAUGCAGUGCAGGAGGCUUUGAAAGCAAGACCUUGGUGUUCUUGAUUACUUCCUCUCCUGUCAUCCUCUCUUGCCACUAUCCAUCAAGAACGGCAUUUUAAUGAUCCCUUUGCUUCUUUUCCUUUUUUCCUGAGACUUCAAAGCACAAGAAGCAGCAUUGUCAUUUCUGUGCUGCCUAAAUGAAGGGAAACUCUCUCCAAGUGCUGAGUGUGAAUUUCAGUGUACAAAUUCCCAUGCAGUUUCCUACAGCACAGCAAAAAAAUAAAAAUACUGUAUUGGUUUGUGUUUCUGUGUUGAGAGGAAUAAAGAGAUAUGCUUGCAUCAGGUAGAGAUGGAGAGAGGGCAUUGCAUUGUCCAUAAUUUGAAAACAUAUCAUGAGAUGUAUUUUCCUGUGUGUAUAUUUGAAAGGAAGCUCCUCAGUAAGUGCAGAACUCUGUGGUGGUGUUCACGCUCUGGAAGAAGUCAGCUGUAGGUUUAGUCAUACCUGAGAGUGAAAUCCUGGCCAUGGUGAAGUCCUCGGGAAGCUGGUCAAAGCCUUCAGAGAGUUGCAAGUCACAGCAAGAAAGUCUGGAUUUUUCUUCUAAUAGAUAUAUCAGAGAAAUGAUGGGGUUAUCAACUGUCUCCUUCUCACACCAUUAUGAAACUUUUGUAAGGGACCUUCAUAAAAGUGGCUGAGUGACUGAGCAAAGCAAUAGAGGACAAGGAUGGAAACCCCUUGGACUUCUCAUCUUGGAGGGAGGAGGACAUCUCUGAGCAAAUCAGGAAAAUACUGGUUGUAAGCAGAGAUAACUGCAAGAAGUGCUUGUAAGCUGGAGGGCAGAAGGAGAGGAACACCUGGCAUGUUGUCUGGAUGUUCACAGCAGUUGCUGGUCAUGUCCUCUUUGGAAGGGAGAACAGGUGUUUCUGCUGCUAAGUGUUGAAAGAGAAACACAGAGCCCUGAACUUUGAAGACUUGGCAGCUGUUGAGAGAAGCAGGAAAGGAGCUGAAAUGCCAAGUGAAUUUCAAAGUCGUUGUCAUCAUGUGGAAGAGGGACAGCUGUCACAUGAAAUGUGACAGAAUUGACAGGACAGGAUCUUGUGGCUUAGUACUUCUGAAACACCAAGUAAACAACAAGCAGGUAGUUACUGAGUAUUCUUGCUCUCAGAUUGAAGGAUGGAGAUGGGAUGUUGGAUCUUCAAGCCUUCUCCAGACCUGAUCAAGCUCA
Long non-coding RNA from Vidua chalybeata, 2418 nucleotides. RefSeq lists it as uncharacterized. Lineage: Eukaryota; Metazoa; Chordata; Aves; Passeriformes; Viduidae. The record is from RefSeq and is a predicted model, not a curated record. The transcript is spliced from 6 exons.